RNAcentral lists this unclassified non-coding RNA (288 nucleotides) under uncultured Atheliaceae. RNAcentral describes it as "sequence contains ITS2". The record is from RNAcentral. Lineage: Eukaryota; Fungi; Basidiomycota; Agaricomycetes; Atheliales; Atheliaceae.
AACGCACCUUGCACCCCUUGGUAUUCCGAGGGGCAUGCCUGUUUGAGUGUCAUUAAAUUCUCAACUCUGAUUUGAUUUGUUUCUAAUCGGAGCUGGACUUGGAGCGUGCUGGCGUCUAGUCGGCUCCUCUCAAAUGCAUCAGCGGAAUAUAACCUUUGGUUUCCGGACGUCGGUGUGAUAAUAAAGUUGCGCCGUCAUUCGACUUCAAAGUCCGCUCAUAAUGGUCUUCGGACGAACUCUUAUAUCAAAUUUGACCUCAAAUCAGGUAGGACUACCCGCUGAACUUAA